UGAUAGAGCGAAUAACCAAGUUAGGCUUUCAGAUUCUAGUAGUGAUGUCAGUAUGACAUAGAACAUCAGAAGGGAAGAGUGAGGCUCAACCCAUUCCGGUCUCAGUAUUUUUCAGUUAUCCUAAUACCUACUCAUACCUCACGUUUCAGUUCCAUGAUCAUAGUUCAUGUUCAUGUAUAUGAUAGAAAAUCACGUGCUCUUCCAGA
This 206-nucleotide long non-coding RNA is filed under the name Capsicum annuum. RNAcentral's name for it is "long non-coding RNA (CANN_LNC018413)". The record is from RNAcentral. Lineage: Eukaryota; Viridiplantae; Streptophyta; Magnoliopsida; Solanales; Solanaceae.